This 519-nucleotide ribosomal RNA is filed under the name uncultured bacterium. Its description in RNAcentral is "partial 16S ribosomal RNA". It matches the Rfam family "Bacterial small subunit ribosomal RNA", at positions 28 to 507 of the family's 1533-position model. The record is from RNAcentral.
GACGAACGCUGGCGGCGUGCCUAAUACAUGCAAGUCGAGCGAGCUUGCCUAGAUGAAUUUGGUGCUUGCACCCGAUGACACUAGAUACAAGCGAGCGGCGGACGGGUGAGUAACACGUGGGUAACCUGCCCAAGAGACUGGGAUAACACCUGGAAACAGAUGCUAAUACCGGAUAACAACACUAGACGCAUGUCUAGAGUUUAAAAGAUGGUUCUGCUAUCACUCUUGGAUGGACCUGCGGUGCAUUAGCUAGUUGGUAAGGCAACGGCUUACCAAGGCAAGGAUGCAUAGCCGAGUUGAGAGACUGAUCGGCCACAUUGGGACUGAGACACGGCCCAAACUCCUACGGGAGGCAGCAGUAGGGAAUCUUCCACAAUGGACGCAAGUCUGAUGGAGCAACGCCGCGUGAGUGAAGAAGGGUUUCGGCUCGUAAAGCUCUGUUGGUAGUGAAGAAAGAUAGAGGUAGUAACUGGCCUUUAUUUGACGGUAAUUACUUAGAAAGUCACGGCUAACUACGUG